GACGAACGCUGGCGGCGUGCCUAAUACAUGCCAGUUGAGCGCUGAAGGUUGGUACUUGUACCAACUGGAUGAGCAGCGAACGGGUGAGUAACGCGUGGGGAAUCUGCCUUUGAGCGGGGGACAACAUUUGGAAACGAAUGCUAAUACCGCAUAAAAACUUUAAACACAAGUUUUAAGUUUGAAAGAUGCAAUUGCAUCACUCAAAGAUGAUCCCGCGUUGUAUUAGCUAGUUGGUGAGGUAAAGGCUCACCAAGGCGAUGAUACAUAGCCGACCUGAGAGGGUGAUCGGCCACAUUGGGACUGAGACACGGCCCAAACUCCUACGGGAGGCAGCAGUAGGGAAUCUUCGGCAAUGGACGAAAGUCUGACCGAGCAACGCCGCGUGAGUGAAGAAGGUUUUCGGAUCGUAAAACUCUGUUGGUAGAGAAGAACGUUGGUGAGAGUGGAAAGCUCACCAAGUGACGGUAACUACCCAGAAAGGGACGGCUAACUACGUG
Molecule: ribosomal RNA, 497 nt
Filed under: uncultured bacterium
Lineage: Bacteria
Description: partial 16S ribosomal RNA
Rfam family: Bacterial small subunit ribosomal RNA
Source: RNAcentral